RNAcentral lists this ribosomal RNA (274 nucleotides) under uncultured bacterium. RNAcentral's name for it is "partial 16S ribosomal RNA". It matches the Rfam family "Bacterial small subunit ribosomal RNA", at positions 523 to 796 of the family's 1533-position model. The record is from RNAcentral.
AGACAGAGGCCACAAACGUUGUUCGGAAUUACUGGGCAUAAAGCGCACGUAGGCGGCUAGGCCCGUCUGAUGUGAAAGCCCCCGGCUCAACCGGGGAACUGCAUCGGAAACAGCCUGGCUUGAGGACGGUUGGGGUGAGUGGAACUCCUGGUGGAGCGGUGAAAUGCGUAGAUAUCAGGAGGAACACCGGUGGCGAAAGCGGCUCACUGGACCGUUUCUGACGCUGAGGUGCGAAAGCUAGGGGAGCAAACGGGAUUAGAUACCCCGGUAGUCC